UGUAAGCGUAUACCAAAGUUGUUGCAGUUAAAACGCUCGUAGUCGGAAUUUGGCAGUUCCGGAUGUGUGCACGUCGUGUGCGCACUUCGCGGGGAUUGCUUUUGUGGUCUUGCGUAGGAUGAGGCACUUUUAUUAGUGAACGUCCUCACGCAACCACUUUUUACUGUGAGAAAAUCAGAGUGCUCAAAGCAGGCAUUUGCCGUGAAUGUAUUAGCAUGGAAUAAUAGAAUAGGACUUGGUUCUAUUUUGUUGGUUUGUUGGGACUGAGUAAUGAUUAAGAGGGACAGUUGGGGGCAUUUGUAUUUCGGUGCUAGAGGUGAAAUUCUUAGAUUACCGAAAGACAAGCUGCUGCGAAAGCGUCCGCCAAGGAUGUUUUCAUUGA
This 382-nucleotide ribosomal RNA is filed under the name uncultured eukaryote. Its description in RNAcentral is "partial 18S ribosomal RNA". It matches the Rfam family "Eukaryotic small subunit ribosomal RNA", at positions 592 to 976 of the family's 1831-position model. The record is from RNAcentral.